AACGAACGCUGGCGGCAUGCUUAACACAUGCAAGUCGAACGAGACCUUCGGGUCUAGUGGCGCACGGGUGCGUAACGCGUGGGAACCUGCCCUUAGGUUCGGUAUAACUCCCCGAAAGGGGUGCUAAUACCGGAUAAUGUCUUCGGACCAAAGAUUUAUCGCCUUUGGAUGGGCCCGCGUUGGAUUAGCUAGUUGGUAGGGUAAAAGCCUACCAACGCGACGAUCCAUAGCUGGUCUGAGAGGAUGAUCAGCCACACUGGGACUGAGACACGGCCCAGACUGCGACGGGAGGGAGCAGUGGGGAAUAUUGGACAAGGGGCGAUAGCCUGAUCCAGCAAUGCCGCGUGAGUGAUGAAGGCCUUAGUGUUGUAAAGCUCUUUUACCCGGGAUGAUAAUGACAGUACCGGGAGAAUAAGCUCCGGCUAACUCCGUG
This 433-nucleotide ribosomal RNA is filed under the name uncultured bacterium. Its description in RNAcentral is "partial 16S ribosomal RNA". It matches the Rfam family "Bacterial small subunit ribosomal RNA", at positions 29 to 507 of the family's 1533-position model. The record is from RNAcentral.